Molecule: ribosomal RNA, 830 nt
Filed under: uncultured bacterium
Lineage: Bacteria
Description: bacterial SSU rRNA
Rfam family: Bacterial small subunit ribosomal RNA
Source: RNAcentral
CCGCGCGGCGCUACACUGCAGUCGACGGUAAAGGAAGCAAGCUUGCUGCUUUGCUGACGAGUGGCCGACGGGUGAGUAAUGUCUGGGAAACUGCCUGAUGGAGGGGGACUAACUACUGGAAACGGUAGCUAAUACCGCACACACGUCGCAAGACCAAGGAGGGGGACCUCUCUGGCCUCUUGCCAUCGGAUGUGCCCAGAUGGGAUUAGCUAGUAGGUGGGGUAACGGCUCACCUAGGCGACGAUCCUCUAGCUGGUCUGAGACGAUGACCCGCGCCCACUGGAACUGAGACACGGUCCCUACUCCUACGGGAGGCAGGCGAGCGAAAUAUUGCACAGCGGGCGCAAGCCUGACCCACCCAUGCGGGCUGUAUGAACAAUGCCUUCGGGUUGUAAAUUACUUUCAGCGGGGAGGAAGGGAGUAAAGUCAAUACCUUUGCUCAUUGACCUUACCCGCAGAAGAAGCACCGGCUAACUCCGUGCCAGCCACCGCGGUAAUACAGAGGGUGCCAGCGUCACUCCUAAUUACUGGGCGUAAAGCGCACGCAGGCGGCUUGUUAAGUAAUAUGAGACCUCCCCGGGCACUUCCUGAGUACUGCAUCAGAUACUGGCACGCUAGUUUUCUCGUAGAGGGGGGAAUAAUUCCAUGUGUAGCGGUGAAAUGCUUAUAUAUCUGGAGAAAUACUGGUGGCGAAGGCGGCCCCUUGGACGAAGACUGACCCUCAGGUGCGAAAGUUUGGGGAGCAAACAGGAUUAAAUACCCUGGUAGUCCACGCCGUAAACCAUGUCAACUUGAUAGUUGUGCUCUUCGAACCUUGUAUUCCCCACCUA